RNAcentral lists this long non-coding RNA (1196 nucleotides) under Sus scrofa (pig). RNAcentral's name for it is "lncRNA (ENSSSCG00060022053.1)". The record is from RNAcentral. Lineage: Eukaryota; Metazoa; Chordata; Mammalia; Artiodactyla; Suidae.
UUUUUUUUUUUUUUUGCCUGCCCCAUGGCAUAUGGAGUUCCCAGCCAGGGAUCAGAACCGAGUUACAGUCAUGACCUACACUGCAGUUGCAACAAUGCCAGAUCCUGAACCCACUGUGCCAAGCCAGGAAUCAAACCUGAGUCCCAGCCCCAAAGAGACACUGAUGAUCCCAUUGCGCCACAGCAGGAACUCCCCAUAAUAAUACAUUCUGAUAGUCCUUAUUACACAUUUUAGUUGCUCAUCUGAAUUUCAUAACUGAUGCAAUCACUUGUGAGAUGUUGAUGCUUCACCAAAAUUUCCUAUCACUCCUCAUUCAAAGUGCUGGCAUUUUGUGAGAUGGGUGUUAGCUUUAUCACCGCUUCACAGGCAAAGAUAUUGAAGCACCAAGUGUUAAGAUUAUUCCCAAGACCCCACACCUGAUAUGUGGUUCAGGGAAGAACCUCUCCAUUCUGUCUUCCCCAUUCUUAGAAAAAUGUUAUCAGGUUAUCGGCUACCCAAGGAGGAGCAAGAGUUACCCCAGAAGGAGGAAUGAGGGACCCAAGAGACUAUUUCCCCUGCUUCUCAGUUUUGUCUAAUUUCACGUGAGAAAAAUAAUUGCAAGAAAGGCUGGAGAUAAGAGAGGAAGGUGGAGAUGGGGUGAGGUGUGGUACCUGGCUGGGAACGAUGCUACAAGCUAAAAUAAGAGUGAAAUGGAAGCUCUGAACUGUGAGGAGACCCUGUCAACUUGACGGGUAGAAAAGUCUUUAAAAGAUAAGGGAGGGGAGUUCCCGUCGUGGCUCAUGGUUAAUGAAUCUGCCUAGGAACCAUGAGGUUGCAGGUUUGAUCCCUGGCCUUGCUCGGUAGGUGAAGGAUCCGGCGUUGCUGUGAGCUGUGGUGUAGGUCACAGAUGCGGCUUGGAUCCCGAGUUGCUGUGGCUCUGGUGUAGGCCGUGACAUAGUUACAUUUUCAUUACCAAGUUGAUGAUGUCAUUUAAUGGAAUUUUUCAAACUUAUUAAUUAAAAUUCAUCUUUAAGGAAAUUUUCUCUAACAGUAUUUAGUUUGUUACUGUGUAUGUAUAUUGAUAAUUCUCAGGAAUUUAUUAUGUAUGAAACACACCUCUUUAUUUCAUAGGUCUUGAGCAAAUUUGAGGACUGAGUAAUGGUAGAUACAAAACAUCAUGCGCUCACUAUUUCAUUUGUUCAUCUUUGUAUUCUACC